CUCUCAGGAGCAAAAAAGAUUAUAAGAAGGGUUUUGAGCACUUGAAAGAUUGUUGAAAGCUUGUGGAUAUCUAAGAUUACAUGUAGUAAACUGCUACCUACAUAACUUCUGCCAGGAAUAAGACCAA
Molecule: long non-coding RNA, 127 nt
Organism: Octopus sinensis (East Asian common octopus)
Lineage: Eukaryota; Metazoa; Mollusca; Cephalopoda; Octopoda; Octopodidae
Exons: 3
Source: RefSeq, a predicted model, not a curated record